Molecule: unclassified non-coding RNA, 275 nt
Filed under: Fomes fasciatus
Lineage: Eukaryota; Fungi; Basidiomycota; Agaricomycetes; Polyporales; Polyporaceae
Description: partial internal transcribed spacer region
Rfam family: Eukaryotic small subunit ribosomal RNA (bases 1-46)
Source: RNAcentral
AAGUCGUAACAAGGUUUCCGUAGGUGAACCUGCGGAAGGAUCAUUAACGAGUUUUGACAUGGGUUGUCGCUGGCCUUUUUUUGGAGGCAUGUGCACGCCCUGCUCAUCCACUCUACACCUGUGCACUUACUGUGGGUUUCAGGCGCGUCGCGGGCCUCCGUGCUCGAGGCGUUACUGGGCCUACGUUUUCACUACAAACUAUUGAAGUAACAGAAUGUGUAUGGAUGUAUAACGCAUCAGUAAUACAACUUUCAGCAACGGAUCUCUUGGCUCUC